Lutra lutra (Eurasian river otter) is the source of this 274-nucleotide long non-coding RNA. RefSeq lists it as uncharacterized. Lineage: Eukaryota; Metazoa; Chordata; Mammalia; Carnivora; Mustelidae. The transcript is spliced from 3 exons. The record is from RefSeq and is a predicted model, not a curated record.
CCCAGCAAGACAAGUCCUGACUUGACCAUAUCCUCCCAGGAGGACAAUUCUGCUCCUGCUAGGACCCCAUGCGGCUCAACGCCGAUCUGACAUCCAACCUGGAGAAAACACUGGGAAGCAGAAAGGAGGUGCGGAUGCCUAGACAGCAAGUAGUGAACACUUCAUAUUUAGGCGGGCAUAUGCUGCUGUAAAGACUCCACUUCCCAGUUUUCCUGACUGCCUUCAAGUUAGAGUGAGCACAAGUAGGGAGAGCAGCAGGCAGACGGAGAGGGAG